This 180-nucleotide ribosomal RNA is filed under the name uncultured Glomeromycotina. RNAcentral's name for it is "partial small subunit ribosomal RNA". The stretch from base 91 to 180 matches the Rfam family "Eukaryotic small subunit ribosomal RNA", at positions 736 to 828 of the family's 1831-position model. The record is from RNAcentral. Lineage: Eukaryota; Fungi; Glomeromycota.
GGCCUGGCUGGGUGGUCUUGCUGCAAGGUAAGCACUGCUCUGGUCGGGUCUUUCCUUCUGGGGAACCAGUGUGCUCUUAGUUGAGUGCGCUGGGGAUCCAGGACUUUUACUUUGAAAAAAUUAGAGUGUUCAAAGCAGGCCUUUGCUCGAAUAUGUUAGCAUGGAAUAAUAAAACAGGAC